GGUGCAGAUGUCCCGGAGCUGGCAGGUCCCCCCCACAGGGCUGUGGGGACAGGGUGACAUCCCCCAGUGGGGACUGUCCCCAACAGUGGGGACCUCAAUAGCCGGGAGGAACGGACCUCCCUAGGGGACAGUUGGGGGGGUUGCUGAGUGUGGUGUCACCACAAGGCAGCAGUGUCACUGAUGUCACUGCAUGGCCCCCGGUGUCAUUGUCCCUGUGUGAGCCCCGGGGUGUGGCACAGUGUCACCAUCACUGUAGGGACCCCAGUGUCACGGGUGUCACUGUUCCUGCAUGGUCCCCAGGGUGUGGCAUGGUGUCAUUGUCACUGCAUUGCCUUGUGUCACGGUGUCACCGUUCCUGCAUGGUCCCUGUGGUUGUGCAUGGUGUCACUGUCACUGCACAGCCCUGUAUCACGGUGUCACCAUCCCUCCAUGGUCCCUGGGGUGUGGCGUGGUGUCACUGUCACUGCACGGCCCCUGAAGCGUCACACAGUGUCACCACAGCUGCACGGUCCCACUCGUGUCACACACUGCUGCUGCACAGCCCCGCGCUACUGCACAGCAUCACUGUUGCUCCCUGGGGUGUCACAUGGUGUCACUGUCACCGCGCAGUGCACAGGGUGUCACUGUCACCGCGGGGCCGACGGUUGCCACGCAGUGUCACUGCAGCUCCCGUGGGUUGUCACACAGAGUCACCAUCAGUGCCUGGCGCAUGGGAUGUCACAUAGUGCUAUGUCACCGCAUGGCCCAUGGGGUGUCACCCGGUGUCACCGUCACUGCCGUCCCGCAGUGUAUCACCCAGCCUCGCUGUCACUGCAUGGCCCACGGGAUGUCACCCAGUGUCACCGUCACUGCACGGCCCGGGGUGUCACACGCUGGCACUGUGCGGGAUACCCCCGAGGGCCACCCCCCGCACGUCCCACGGGCUGACACCCGGUGUCACUGCACACCCCCUGGGCUGUGUCACACCCUGGCCGUGGGACACCCUGGGGACGGCACAGCGGGUCCCCGCUCCUCCCGACCCCCCGUCCCCCUGGGGGGACACGUCCCCCAGCCCGUCCCCACGGCCGGUGGCUGCUGCCAGGCGAGCAGCCACUUCCCAUCAC
This 1103-nucleotide long non-coding RNA is filed under the name Calidris pygmaea (Spoon-billed sandpiper). Its description in RNAcentral is "lncRNA (ENSCPGG00000017429.1)". The record is from RNAcentral. Lineage: Eukaryota; Metazoa; Chordata; Aves; Charadriiformes; Scolopacidae.